CCUACGGGCGGCAGCAGUGAGGAAUAUUGGUCAAUGGACGAGAGUCUGAACCAGCCAAGUAGCGUGAAGGAUGACUGCCCUAUGGGUUGUAAACUUCUUUUAUAUGGGAAUAAAACGUUCCACGUGUGGGAUUUUGUAUGUACCAUAUGAAUAAGGAUCGGCUAACUCCGUGCCAGCAGCCGCGGUAAUACGGAGGAUCCGAGCGUUAUCCGGAUUUAUUGGGGUUAAAGGGAGCGUAGGUGGAUUGUUAAGUCAGUUGUGAAAGUUUGCGGCUCAACCAUAAAAUUGCAGUUGAAACUGGCAGUCUUGAGUACAGUAGAGGUGGGCGGAAUUCGUGGUGUAGCGGUGAAAUGCUUAGAUAUCACGAAGAACUCCGAUUGCGAAGGCAGUUCACUGGACUGCAACUGACACUGAGGCUCGAAAGUGUGGGUAUCAAACAGGAUUAGAUACCCCUGUAGUC
This 460-nucleotide ribosomal RNA is filed under the name uncultured bacterium. Its description in RNAcentral is "partial 16S ribosomal RNA". It matches the Rfam family "Bacterial small subunit ribosomal RNA", at positions 338 to 795 of the family's 1533-position model. The record is from RNAcentral.